CCUCUCAACUAUCACGCGAUAGAAAUCUCGAGCUCAUAAUCUAAUUGUUUAUUAGUAUAAUUUCAGAGCUGAACAAAAAGUUUCCAGCAAUCUAAUUGGUUGAACGAUUCCUUAUAUGACGCUAUAUUCACCGCACCAGAACAAAGGAGACUUUUGUCUGAUUGCCUGAUUUGUUACCCUGGUACUCAGGCUCUUACUAAGCGCGCGCUGUCGAAAUCUUAAAAACAAAGAUGGCGUCCGAAAGAGCGAUUUCACCGUUGACUUUGCUUCAUCGCUUGUUCUAGAGUUUUAGGCAAAUGUUGCAGUUUUCUUGCUUUGUCCUCUUUUUCAUAAUGGUAGGAAAAUGUAGGGCGGGAAAGCUCAAACUUCUCACGGGUUACCGUUUUCGAUUUUACUGGCGAACAACUGUUUUCCUCGUGGCUUUGCAGGCCGGAAAAAUGUUCCGCAAGAAGUGCAAAAAACGCAAAUGUAAAGUUUAGAGAAGGGGUAGUGUGUAGAAAGUGCUGCUGUAAGUUAAUUAACAAGAGUGCAAGGGUGUUACAGUAAAAAAGGAGUUUGUUGUGUCUUUUUAAUUAAUUCAAUACAUGUAUCGAUCUGUAAAAACUUACUUUGAUUGGCUUCCUUGGAAAUCAAUGUGAUAUUCUUGUAAAAAUUGCGUUCUCCACUCUGAAUCUUGCUCUGUUUUUAUGAGCAUUUGCAAGAUAGGGAAGUUAUAUAAAAAAUGGCAUUGACAUAUACGCAUAAAGUGAGCUUUUGAACUAACCAGUUUCAAGCAUCCUUCAUACCUUUCAUCAUCUCAAUGACCCAAUGACAAAAGUAGGAAUGGCCGUGUAGAGAAAUCUUUUAUCUGCCUCAUGACAAUUGACUGGCAAAGAAAUGUUUAUUUUACUCAUUCAAUAUUUCUGCACCACUUCUGGUUUCCCACAUAACUUUGAAGAAGUCAAUGCCUAAGGAGAAACUGUUGAGGAUCUUUAUUACCUUAGUUUCUUUGUACAAAUGAGUUUCCAUAUGUCAUGCUUAAUUUAAUUUUGUUGCCAGUGCACGUACUCUAAAACAGCUGCAUCAGCAAGAAAACAAUGGCAAAAGACGUUUUUCUCACUGUCACAGCCUCUAAACUAGAUACAAAGUUAUGAAUACCGUAAACUUUCUUCAAGUCGUAAGUUUAUGUAAGAUACUCGAAAAUGGUUCGUGACAAACUGAUGUCACGCUAUGGUCGAAAGAAGCAAAUUUUGGUCGUGGAAGAUUUCUCUUCGAGGUGAAUUUUGGGCAACCGGGACACCGGAAACAUCCUCAUUUCUUUACGUUAAACUGUAGCAGAGUAAGUGUAGUUUCACUAGUUAAAGCCGAUUCCCAUAUCACAAAUUAGUUUUUCGGAUAUUCACAAAAACGCCAGCUCAAUCAAGACGGACCAACCGAUAAAACAGCGUUGCCAGGGAGUAUCGUGAAAUCAAAUGCAGGGAUAUUUUGUUUGAUAAGGUUUAUAACAACAAGGGUUGGCUGGAGUAAACUUUCACUCAACUUAAAUCAAAUGAAUGCUUUUCUUCAACAGUAUAAAACCAUGCCGCUCAUUUUAAGAGCUGUAAAACGCGAAUCGUUAUAAACUGAAUUUCUAGAAUCUAAUUCCGACCUCAAAUCACUCACCCGACUAAUAGUAAACAGAGGAACACCGGAAACAGGGUACCAAAUUUUGCCAGGGCAUAGUGCACAUUAAACAGUCACCCAUUAAUGGAAUUCACAUGUCACGAAGGAGUACAAAAGUCUCAGAGGUUUGAAGACAAAUUUUAAUUUUGAAUUAAACAAAAAUUUCAUUUAUCGAUCACAACAUUCACUUCACUUGAAAAUGAAAUGGUUUAACUCAAAAACACAAAGGUACCCAGAAUAUGAAAAACAACUUCAUAGCAAUGCUGGACUCGAAUUUAGUGAAGGACUGACGAAAAAAGAAAUGGUCAGAUUUUCUUGUUUAACCACACUUUGAAACCGAAAAUGAGAACAACAUGGUUUUCUCAUCUCCGCAAGAUGAGACGAAUAAAAAUCUAAAAUAUAAACUCAAGGAACCAGUAAUACUUUUACUUACCACAGUAGCCAUGUUCCUUUUGGUUGGCGUCGAAUAAGACCUGUGGUACUCUUCAAAGCACUGCAAAAGUGAAUCAACGCUUGCUUUGCUUCAUCUUUGUUCCAAGGAAAUCGCCAUCUUUGUCGGUGACAUAUGUGAACGAAAAGCAGUUUAUCGACCCUAAAAUUGCCAUAAGCGAAAUGAAACGGGCAGUUUUCUCUUCACUUUAAAUUGCUUUUCACGGUAACAUGCCUUACAUGAUUCACUGAGGACCAAUUAAAGAAUGAUUCUCCUUCGAAAGUUCGGUUGUCAAAUUUAGCAGCACCGAAAACCGCGUGUUCAAGCAAAAGUGCGAAAAC
RNAcentral lists this long non-coding RNA (2412 nucleotides) under Orbicella faveolata. RNAcentral describes it as "uncharacterized LOC110059308". Lineage: Eukaryota; Metazoa; Cnidaria; Anthozoa; Scleractinia; Merulinidae. The record is from RNAcentral.